This 450-nucleotide ribosomal RNA is filed under the name uncultured bacterium. RNAcentral describes it as "partial 16S ribosomal RNA". It matches the Rfam family "Bacterial small subunit ribosomal RNA", at positions 354 to 796 of the family's 1533-position model. The record is from RNAcentral.
GUGGGGAAUUUUGGACAAUGGGCGCAAGCCUGAUCCAGCAAUGCCGCGUGCAGGAAGAAGGCCUUCGGGUUGUAAACUGCUUUUGUACGGAACGAAAAGGCUCUGGCUAAUACCUGGAGCUCAUGACGGUACCGUAAGAAUAAGCACCGGCUAACUACGUGCCAGCAGCCGCGGUAAUACGUAGGGUGCGAGCGUUAAUCGGAAUUACUGGGCGUAAAGCGUGCGCAGGCGGUGCUGUAAGACAGGCGUGAAAUCCCCGGGCUCAACCUGGGAAUUGCGCUUGUGACUGCAGCGCUGGAGUGCGGCAGAGGGGGAUGGAAUUCCGCGUGUAGCAGUGAAAUGCGUAGAUAUGCGGAGGAACACCGAUGGCGAAGGCAAUCCCCUGGGCCUGCACUGACGCUCAUGCACGAAAGCGUGGGGAGCAAACAGGAUUAGAUACCCCAGUAGUCC